This 73-nucleotide transfer RNA is filed under the name Stegodyphus mimosarum. It matches the Rfam family "tRNA". Rfam says of the family: Transfer RNA (tRNA) molecules are approximately 80 nucleotides in length. The record is from Rfam by way of RNAcentral. Lineage: Eukaryota; Metazoa; Arthropoda; Arachnida; Araneae; Eresidae.
UCUUUCGUGGUGUAAUUGAAAGCACGUCCGGUUAGCAAUUGGAAGGUCCGGAGUUCGAAUCUCGGUAAGAGCA